UAAUACGUAGGGGGCAAGCGUUGUCCGGAAUCAUUGGGCGUAAAGCGCGUGUAGGCGGCCAGGUAAGUCCGUUCUGAAAGCCCGGGGCUCAACCCCGGGAGGCGGAUGGAUACUGCUUGGCUCGAGUCCGGAAGAGGCGAGUGGAAUUCCCGGUGUAGCGGUGAAAUGCGCAGAUAUCGGGAGGAACACCAAUGGCGAAGGCAGCUCGCUGGGACGGUACUGACGCUGAGACGCGAAAGCGUGGGGAGCAAACA
Molecule: ribosomal RNA, 254 nt
Filed under: uncultured prokaryote
Description: partial 16S ribosomal RNA
Rfam family: Bacterial small subunit ribosomal RNA
Source: RNAcentral